This 468-nucleotide ribosomal RNA is filed under the name uncultured bacterium. RNAcentral's name for it is "partial 16S ribosomal RNA". It matches the Rfam family "Bacterial small subunit ribosomal RNA", at positions 28 to 507 of the family's 1533-position model. The record is from RNAcentral.
GAUGAACGCUGGCGGCGUGCUUAACACAUGCAAGUCGAACGGAAAGGCGAUGCUCUUGCUGGGUUCUCGAUUGGCGAACGGGUGAGUAACACGCGAGUAACCUGCACUUGUCUUAGUGGUAACUCUAGGGAACAGGGGCUAAUAUCCGGUAUGAUCUCCUGCACCGUGUUGGGGGUUGGAAAGAUUCGGCGGUUCGGGAUGGACUCGCGGGUUAUGAGCUUGUUUGUCGGGUAGUGGAUUACCAAGGCUUUGAAGGGUAGCCUGCCUGAGAGGGUGACCGGCGACCAUGGGACUGAGGUAGGGACCAGAAUGCAACGGGCGGCAGCGGUGGGGAAUAUUGCACAAUGGGGGGAAGUGAGAUGCAGCAACGCCGCGAGCGGAAUAACGGCUUUCUGGUUAUAAACCGCUUUCGAAGGUGACGAAGCCUGAGUGACGGUAAUGAGUAAAGAAGCACCGGCUAACUACGUG